ACAGGGAUUGCCCCAGUAACGGCGAGUGAAGCGGCAACAGCUCAAAUUUGAAAUCUGGCCCCCCGGCCCGAGUUGUAAUUUGCAGAGGAUGCUUUUGGUGAGGCACCUACCGAGUCCCCUGGAAUGGGGCGCCAUAGAGGGUGAGAGCCCCGUAUGGUAGGACGCCGAACCUCUGUAAAGCUCCUUCGACGAGUCGAGUAGUUUGGGAAUGCUGCUCUAAAUGGGAGGUAAAUUUCUUCUAAAGCUAAAUACCGGCCAGAGACCGAUAGCGCACAAGUAGAGUGAUCGAAAGAUGAAAAGCACUUUGAAAAGAGGGUUAAAAAGUACGUGAAAUUGUUGAAAGGGAAGCGCUUGUGACCAGACUUGCGCCGGGCGGAUCAUCCAGCGUUCUCGCUGGUGCACUCCGCCCGGUUCAGGCCAGCAUCGGUUUUCGCCGGGGGACAAAGGCUUCGGGAACGUGGCUCCUUUCGGGGAGUGUUAUAGCCCGUUGCGUAAUACCCCGGCGGGGACCGACGACCGCGCUUCGGCAAGGAUGCUGGCGUAAUGGUCAUCAGCGACCCGUCUUGAAACACGGACCGAGGAGUCAAGCAUUAGUGCGAGUGUUUGGGUGUAAAACCCGCACGCGUAAUGAAAGUGAACGUAGGUGAGAGCUUCGGCGCAUCAUCGACCGAUCCUGAUGUUUUCGGAAGGAUUUGAGUAGGAGCAUUAACGCUUGGACCCGAAAGAUGGUGAACUAUACUUGAAUAGGGUGAAGCCAGAGGAAACUCUGGUGGAGGCUCGCAGCGGUUCUGACGUGCAAAUCGAUCGUCAAAUUUGAGUAUAGGGGCGAAAGACUAAUCGAACCAUCUAGUAGCUGGUUUCAGC
This 864-nucleotide ribosomal RNA is filed under the name Pyricularia grisea. Its description in RNAcentral is "LSU rRNA". It matches the Rfam family "Eukaryotic large subunit ribosomal RNA", at positions 68 to 961 of the family's 3401-position model. Lineage: Eukaryota; Fungi; Ascomycota; Sordariomycetes; Magnaporthales; Pyriculariaceae. The record is from RNAcentral.